This is a long non-coding RNA of Salmo salar (Atlantic salmon), 1140 nucleotides long. RefSeq lists it as uncharacterized. The record is from RefSeq and is a predicted model, not a curated record. NCBI's taxonomy places the organism in Eukaryota, Metazoa, Chordata, Actinopteri, Salmoniformes, Salmonidae.
UAAUCGAACCCAAAACCGAAUCGAGCUCAAAAAACACUUAUCGCUCAGCACUAGUUCCAUGUAGAACCCUCUGUGGAAAUGGUUCUACAUGGAACCUCAAAGUUUCUAUCAGGAACCAAAAGUGUUCUACUUGGAACCAAAAAAGGUGUACGAAUUCUGUGGAGGCAGCGUGAUACAAGGACUAUACAUUUCCUGUCUCCUAUCAGCCGGAUUUACUCCGAAAAGGGCAUCAAUGACCAUUGGACCAUAUACUUCUCCACAAUAUUGCAGGCACUAAAGGUGGACUUUUAACAAGUGCAGUGACAAUGCAGGAUGACAUCAUCGAUGAUGCGGUGGGUUUCGUGGCGGCAGCGGAGAUGCUGAGGGAGAGGGGGGCGGGGACGAUCAUCGCCGUGGCAACGCACGCCAUCCUGUCCGCGGACGCUCCCAGGAUCCUCCAGGAGUCAGUCAUUAGUCAGAGAGGAGAGGAGGAUGUGAAGUUAAAGAACAUGGGUUCUUGGCCCAGCGUUCUCAGUCCACCCCCGCCUCCGCUGUCCGCUCCUCUAGCGACAGCUUCGAACAGGUCCGUCGCGUCGCCCGAGAGAAGGAGAGAGAGAAACAGCUAAAAGCACAGGCCAGGAGAGAGCAGGAGAAACUACGUAGCCGUGACGACGAGGACCCUGUGGAGCAGCAGGGGAGGGGGCGUGUCCAGGAGGACACUCGCCGUCGCCAGGAGCAACUUUCGCCUCAACCCCUCCCGCCGACUCCCCACAGGCCCCUCCCACUCAACAGGCCACACCCUCGGCCGCAGCAGAACGCCAUGGACCAGCAGAGGGAGCUGGCGAGACGCCGCGAGCAGGAAAGGAGGAGGAGAGAGAUGGCGGACACCAUUGACAUCAACUUCCAGAGCGACUUGAUGGUCAUCUUUGAAGAGAACCUUUUCUGAGAGAGAGAUUGAGAAAGGAGGAGAGGGAGAGAAAGAGAUAUGAACUCUACCUUAUCCCACCAUGGCUGGGAUUUCACACACAACACCCUCCCUCCCUCUGAUUAGAGACCCCAGACCAGGAUGUGAGCUCCAGAGACUUGAAGGAGACUGAGGUGAGGUACAGUAAUAAGGAGUAGCCCUCCCUCCCUCCCUCUGAUUAGAGACCCCAGACCAGG